CCUACGGGAGGCAGCAGUGGGGAAUAUUGCACAAUGGGCGAAAGCCUGAUGCAGCGACGCCGCGUGAGGGAUGACGGCCUUCGGGUUGUAAACCUCUUUCAGCAGGGAAGGAGCCACAAGUGACGGUACCUGCAGAAGAAGCGCCGGCUAACUGCGUGCCAGCAGCCGCGGUAAU
RNAcentral lists this ribosomal RNA (175 nucleotides) under uncultured bacterium. RNAcentral's name for it is "partial 16S ribosomal RNA". It matches the Rfam family "Bacterial small subunit ribosomal RNA", at positions 338 to 524 of the family's 1533-position model. The record is from RNAcentral.